Molecule: RNA transcript, 4135 nt
Organism: Polypterus senegalus (gray bichir)
Lineage: Eukaryota; Metazoa; Chordata; Cladistia; Polypteriformes; Polypteridae
Gene name: zinc finger protein 33A-like
Exons: 4
Source: RefSeq, a predicted model, not a curated record
UGGUUGCAUUCUGCCGGAAGUGUAGUUGAAAAGUCGGGUAUUAACUUCUGUUCAUCUAGUCUGCCCAGUUCGUAGUAAUGUAAACCUGCACAUAGUAUUGUUUGCUCGGGUAGGCAUUGGAAGGGGUCUGCUCAUAACAAACAGACUGUUGCAGCGACUUAGAAAUGGACGAGAGGGUCUCCUCCGGAGUGUUUAAAGAGCAGUUCGCUUUUCUGCGAGCGGCUAUAGAGAAUGUGCUAUGCGAGUUCACCGAUUCCGUCGACAAAAGUUUUUCUCAUUUUCAACUGGAGAUGUGCCGCAAAGAGAAGGAAAUUGAAAGCUUGAGGCUGCGCCUCGAGAUCUCGCAGUCCGAAGUGAGAGCCGAACGGGGUCACGCGAGCCCGGCGCUCAGAAUCCUCACAAGAGGUCCCAACAAAGGGAAUGAGAGGGGCGUAGAGCGCACACCGGGGGUCCAGCUGCGGACACCAGUCAUCGGCAGGCAAGCAGGCUAUAAAGAGGGUGGCCAAGUGAAUCAAGAGCUGACAUUCAAGAAGAAACCGGCGUUGUUGAUCCCAGAUCGUCUCACCGGACAGAUUUCCAAGUCAGUCGGUUGGAUUCAGCGCGAAGACGAUCACACUGCAGCCCUCACAAAGACGUUUUCCAAAAGCUGUGAAGUUGGCGCUCCUGUUCGUCUGUCUCCUGAUCGUAAUGGUUCCAGAGACAAGUGGCCAUCAUCUGAGUGGAACAGAAAAGACAGCAAAGCGGACAGUCGAGUUCCAACUGCCGAAGAGCUCGUUGACCGCAAACUGGUGUUUAUUAAAGAGGAAGGCCAAGAGCAGUGUUCAGGUGACUUUAAUGUAGAACUCUUUGGUCAGCAGGCACUGCACCUCAAGGUAGAAGAUCCCGAACAAAGCACAGAGUUGGUGUUGAAACACAGCAGACCUGAUCAGUCUUUAAGCAGAACACAUGGAGAGGAUGCAGUCUCUUCUGCAAGUGGCGUAAGAGAUGAAGAAGAAAGAGAGGCCUCCUCUGGACUGUCAUUCUGUCAGAUCUCCCUUCAUAAUGGUGCACGAUACAACCAUCAAGAACAUGGAAAUCACAGCUGUUUGAAAAGUUCUCAAUCUGGGGCUCCUAAUGUCCAGGGUUCAUUUUCACUUGGGUUUGCUCCGUCUCUCGCAUGUACACUGGGGCUUGAGGCUGGUGAAUCCCAGAAACGCCUCUUCUCGGCUCCUCAUUGUGUUACAGAAGCUGUGACCUCGCCAAAGCCUACCCAGAACCGUGCAGAGAGGACGUGGCCUGACUGUGAUGAGCAUGGGCUUAUGCAGAAUAACGCGGCACCCAAAAAAAAAAUCUACAACUGCCCAGAAUGUGGGAAAGGGUUCAGGUGGAAGAGUAAGCUGCGUGAACAUCAGACCAUGCACUUUGGGGAGAAGCCGUAUUUCUGUGCUGUGUGUGGGAAGCGAUUCAGUUACAAACGAAGCAUUCAGCGUCACCAGGUCCUGCAUACUGGGGAGAAAUGCCACCCAUGCCCCGAGUGUGGCAAGCUGUUUACCACUAAAGAGUAUGUUCAGAAGCACCAGAUUACUCACACUGGAGAGCAUCCUUAUCCAUGCACCCAGUGUGGGCGGAGGUUCAAAAGUAAGCCCAACCUCAAACAGCACCAGAGAAUCCAUGGCAUAGGGAAGUCCUACUGCUGCAGCAAAUGUGGGCGAAGUUUCAAAUGGAAGUCGAGUCUCUCGGUUCACCUGAAGGUUCAUUCUGCAGAAGUGAGUGAAGCAGCACGGUAGUGAGGUGUCGGUAGUAAUACCAUUUUGACUUCCGAGGCAACCCUGUCUCCGUGCGACCAGAUGUGAUUUGUCAUCCUAAGUGAUGGAGGAGAUCGACCCAAAUCGGGAUCACUUCAUUUAUCAGCUGCUUCUCUCUCUCUCUCUGCAAUUUGCACGUAGCAUUUUGGUAAUGAGAAUUUUCAUCAAUAAUGGACGUGAAUUCUUAAAUGAUGUAGAACACCUUUUUUCCUUGUACUGUAAUUUUUAACAGAGUAUUUUAAACAGCUUUGCAAGUAACUAACGGCUGUGCUUUCAGUAGCACCUUAACAUUGAAGCACAACAUCAUAUAUGUUUAUCUCCUUUUUCACUCCUUGUUCGUCACACCGCCUUUUGGGUUAAACAAAACUCCUCAACCAGUCCAGUACUAGAGGUAGUAGUAGUAGUAGUGAUGUCAUGUAUAUAGUGAUAUAUGUCAACCCGACAUGGAACACCUCACAGAUGUCGACGAGAAUAUGUUUAAAAUCUCUCCACAGAUUAAAAUCCUAAAUUGUGUCUACACCCGUAAUGGCUCCUUUAAACCAAUUAGCGUUCCUUUAGUCACUGACGGGCAUCUUGAGAGUGUUAUGAAAAGUAUAAAUGUUUUUCUAAAAGGCGGCUCUCUCGGUGCUGAACAGUUUCACGUGUUGAAGGAAUCCAUUCAUUUUCUGAAUUGGUUUGAGUUUAACAAAUGGUGGUGGUUCACAGGCUGCUGUAUGUUUUGCAGAUUAUGUUGGCAGAACCCUAAUUUAUGUGCUCCGAUGCCCCCACUGCCUACUUCUGUCACAGUUGCCAUGGUAACCUGAACUUGAGCUGUACAUUUUGAGAAAAUGUGUUCUUCACACCAAGGUCUGCUAUUCUGUCCUCUGAACAAAUGGAAAUCGGCCAAACAAGCGGACUGUGUCUCGAUUUUAAGUUGAAGCGUACGUUCUGUAGGCCUUUCAUCUGUCAGCUUGAAGGCUAUCGCACUUUUAAUUUAUUUGAUAGCAUUAAUAGAACGAAUUCCCAUCGCCCUAUUUGCACCAUGAAACACUAUUUAUUUAUUUAUUAUUUUGUAUGGAUGUAUGUGAUUAUUUAUUUAAAAAUCAAAUAGACAUUAGGAAAGUUUCAACCUGAGAGUGAUGGAGUCCAUUACUUGGAUUCUGGGGCUGUGAUUGGGCAGUGCUUAGACCAGGGGGUCCUCAGUCAGAGUCCUGGAGGGCCGCAGCGGCUGCAGGUUUAUAUUCCAACUUUUUAAAAAACCGUCCGUGCUGAUAAUGAAACUUGCUAUUAAACUAUUUAGCUUGUUCAUGCUUGCAUUCAUCCAAGAGCAAUUUGAGUUGCACUGUAGAGUUUCCUUCUGUCAGAACAUUAGCCAAGUGUUAUGUGGACCAGAACAGAUUUUAAACUUCACGGUCCUUCCGAUUCUCCUCUCAUUCGUUUCUAAACAUUUUUUUAUCACAGAUACUUCAUGGUAAGCACAUGAGCCGGGGUGUUGCUGGUUUAUUGGUUAUCUGCUUCUCAUUAUCUAAUGUCUGAUUAAGAAACUGGGCAACAAUUACAACUUAAAUGUAGCUUUCUAAAAUAGGCAAUUUAGGGUUCUGAAUGGUAGCAGGCAAGAUAACUAAAAUUAAGCCCACAUAAUGUACUGCUUAAGUCGUAAAUAAAAAGGUUCUAAUUAAGAGAUUGGUUAAAGUGAAAACCUCCAGAACUGUAAUUGAGGACCUCCAAUCUACAAAGGAACUAAAAUGUGUCUCUGAUGAAUAAAAGUACUAACAAGACAUCGAGUUAAACACCAGCAAGGACUGAGUUCUAAUUCGGGCGCUGGCGGGAUUGAAAACCCGUAGCCACUGCGGCCGUCCAGGACCGUGACUGAGGACCCCUGGCUUAGACCCACCACUACCCCCCUCUCCUCCCACAUAUGUGUGUGGCAGGUGAAUUGUUGACCCUUUGUUGGCUCAUUAUGAGUGAACGUGGCUACAGGUGUGACUGUGCACUGUCAGGGUCUGGUACCCCAAAGCUGGAUAGUCGGCCCGUCCCACUUUGAAAAUGAAUGGUCACAUUGUAAUGCAAGGCUCUCCAGGACUGGAGUUGGAGACCCCUGUUGUAAUGUAUAGAAACAAAAUGAGCGAUCAUGGGGGGGGGGAGAAUGUCUUGGCGCUGCUGUCUCCCCACUGCAAAGUUCUCGGUGUGAAUCCAACUGUCUGUGGGAUGUUUGCACACUCGCCCCUCAUCUGCCAGGGUUCACCUCUCAUAUCCCGACGACAUGCAUGUUUAGGUUAGCUGCCCUUCUAGACAUUUCCCAAGGGGAAAUUCACAUACUCCAGCAGCAGCAGCAGCAUACUGAUAAAAAACAAUAUUAAAUUAAAGAGUGA